Molecule: ribosomal RNA, 2471 nt
Filed under: Escherichia coli
Lineage: Bacteria; Pseudomonadati; Pseudomonadota; Gammaproteobacteria; Enterobacterales; Enterobacteriaceae
Also listed under: 1 other name
Description: partial 23S ribosomal RNA
Rfam family: Bacterial large subunit ribosomal RNA
Source: RNAcentral
UCCUGACUGACCGAUAGUGAACCAGUACCGUGAGGGAAAGGCGAAAAGAACCCCGGCGAGGGGAGUGAAAAAGAACCUGAAACCGUGUACGUACAAGCAGUGGGAGCACGCUUAGGCGUGUGACUGCGUACCUUUUGUAUAAUGGGUCAGCGACUUAUAUUCUGUAGCAAGGUUAACCGAAUAGGGGAGCCGAAGGGAAACCGAGUCUUAACUGGGCGUUAAGUUGCAGGGUAUAGACCCGAAACCCGGUGAUCUAGCCAUGGGCAGGUUGAAGGUUGGGUAACACUAACUGGAGGACCGAACCGACUAAUGUUGAAAAAUUAGCGGAUGACUUGUGGCUGGGGGUGAAAGGCCAAUCAAACCGGGAGAUAGCUGGUUCUCCCCGAAAGCUAUUUAGGUAGCGCCUCGUGAAUUCAUCUCCGGGGGUAGAGCACUGUUUCGGCAAGGGGGUCAUCCCGACUUACCAACCCGAUGCAAACUGCGAAUACCGGAGAAUGUUAUCACGGGAGACACACGGCGGGUGCUAACGUCCGUCGUGAAGAGGGAAACAACCCAGACCGCCAGCUAAGGUCCCAAAGUCAUGGUUAAGUGGGAAACGAUGUGGGAAGGCCCAGACAGCCAGGAUGUUGGCUUAGAAGCAGCCAUCAUUUAAAGAAAGCGUAAUAGCUCACUGGUCGAGUCGGCCUGCGCGGAAGAUGUAACGGGGCUAAACCAUGCACCGAAGCUGCGGCAGCGACGCUUAUGCGUUGUUGGGUAGGGGAGCGUUCUGUAAGCCUGCGAAGGUGUGCUGUGAGGCAUGCUGGAGGUAUCAGAAGUGCGAAUGCUGACAUAAGUAACGAUAAAGCGGGUGAAAAGCCCGCUCGCCGGAAGACCAAGGGUUCCUGUCCAACGUUAAUCGGGGCAGGGUGAGUCGACCCCUAAGGCGAGGCCGAAAGGCGUAGUCGAUGGGAAACAGGUUAAUAUUCCUGUACUUGGUGUUACUGCGAAGGGGGGACGGAGAAGGCUAUGUUGGCCGGGCGACGGUUGUCCCGGUUUAAGCGUGUAGGCUGGUUUUCCAGGCAAAUCCGGAAAAUCAAGGCUGAGGCGUGAUGACGAGGCACUACGGUGCUGAAGCAACAAAUGCCCUGCUUCCAGGAAAAGCCUCUAAGCAUCAGGUAACAUCAAAUCGUACCCCAAACCGACACAGGUGGUCAGGUAGAGAAUACCAAGGCGCUUGAGAGAACUCGGGUGAAGGAACUAGGCAAAAUGGUGCCGUAACUUCGGGAGAAGGCACGCUGAUAUGUAGGUGAAGUCCCUUGCGGAUGGAGCUGAAAUCAGUCGAAGAUACCAGCUGGCUGCAACUGUUUAUUAAAAACACAGCACUGUGCAAACACGAAAGUGGACGUAUACGGUGUGACGCCUGCCCGGUGCCGGAAGGUUAAUUGAUGGGGUCAGCGCAAGCGAAGCUCUUGAUCGAAGCCCCGGUAAACGGCGGCCGUAACUAUAACGGUCCUAAGGUAGCGAAAUUCCUUGUCGGGUAAGUUCCGACCUGCACGAAUGGCGUAAUGAUGGCCAGGCUGUCUCCACCCGAGACUCAGUGAAAUUGAACUCGCUGUGAAGAUGCAGUGUACCCGCGGCAAGACGGAAAGACCCCGUGAACCUUUACUAUAGCUUGACACUGAACAUUGAGCCUUGAUGUGUAGGAUAGGUGGGAGGCUUUGAAGUGUGGACGCCAGUCUGCAUGGAGCCGGCCUUGAAAUACCACCCUUUAAUGUUUGAUGUUCUAACGUGGACCCGUGAUCCGGGUUGCGGACAGUGUCUGGUGGGUAGUUUGACUGGGGCGGUCUCCUCCUAAAGAGUAACGGAGGAGCACGAAGGUUGGCUAAUCCUGGUCGGACAUCAGGAGGUUAGUGCAAUGGCAUAAGCCAGCUUGACUGCGAGCGUGACGGCGCGAGCAGGUGCGAAAGCAGGUCAUAGUGAUCCGGUGGUUCUGAAUGGAAGGGCCAUCGCUCAACGGAUAAAAGGUACUCCGGGGAUAACAGGCUGAUACCGCCCAAGAGUUCAUAUCGACGGCGGUGUUUGGCACCUCGAUGUCGGCUCAUCACAUCCUGGGGCUGAAGUAGGUCCCAAGGGUAUGGCUGUUCGCCAUUUAAAGUGGUACGCGAGCUGGGUUUAGAACGUCGUGAGACAGUUCGGUCCCUAUCUGCCGUGGGCGCUGGAGAACUGAGGGGGGCUGCUCCUAGUACGAGAGGACCGGAGUGGACGCAUCACUGGUGUUCGGGUUGUCAUGCCAAUGGCACUGCCCGGUAGCUAAAUGCGGAAGAGAUAAGUGCUGAAAGCAUCUAAGCACGAAACUUGCCCCGAGAUGAGUUCUCCCUGACCCUUUAAGGGUCCUGAAGGAACGUUGAAGACGACGACGUUGAUAGGCCGGGUGUGUAAGCGCAGCGAUGCGUUGAGCUAACCGGUACUAAUGAACCGUGAGGCUUAACCUU